AUGCCGGCGGCUCCUGCGGUACCUAUAUCUGCGCGUGGGGUUAGACUGACAGCUGGGACCGGCGGCUCACAGGGCAGAGCGGAGCGGAGCUCUAGGAGGCCACCACCCCAAAUCCCCUUCCUCUGCACAUCGCCAGUUUCACCGCCGCUGCGCCCGCACGACGCUGCAGGUGGCGCAGCCGCCAUGGACGAGGAGGCGAAGCCCAACACGAGCGAGGAGGCCAGCUCCAAGGCCGCCCCCGCUGCCGCUGCUGCUGCCGCCGCCACUGCGGCCGAGGCGGCCACUCCGCCGACGCCCUCGGGCUCGGAGUCGCCGGAGGGGGGGAAGGAGGAGGUGGGCGAUUUGGUGGAGAGGGUUGCGGAGCUGGUGGACGAGAUCGCGGUGAUCUCCGACUUCAGGAACGCCUACCGGAGGCAGUUCUGCAACCUGUCGCGGCGGAUCCGGCUGCUCGCGCCCAUGAUGGAGGAGGUCAAGGAGGGGCCACGCCCGUUGCCGGAGGCGUCGGUGGCCGCGCUCAGGCAGCUCAGGGACGCGCUCGCCGGCGCCCGGGAGCUGCUCCGCCUCGGCAGCAACGGUAGCAAGAUCUUCCUGGUUCUCGAGAGAGAGAAGAUAAUGCAGACUUUCCAGGACAUUACCUCGAGGCUUGAGCAAGCCUUAGCUGGUAUCUCGUUUGAUGAGCUUGGCAUAUCAGAUGAAGUAAGGGAACAGGUUGAACUGGUGCAUGCUCAAUUCAAAAGAGCAAAAGAACGACCAGAUACAUCGGAUGACAUUCUCUUUAAUGAUCUAAUUUCUGCCUAUAACUCAAGCACCAAUGAUAAUGUUGAUCCAGAUAUCAUUCAAAGGUUAUCUGAGAAGUUGCAGCUUGUCACCAUAUCUGACCUCAAUCAAGAAUCAUUGGCCUUGCAUGAGAUGGCUAGUGGAGGGGAUCCCGGUGCAGUUGUUGAGAAUAUGUCAAUGCUGCUGAAAAAGAUCAAGGAUUUUGUGCAGACCCAGGAUCCUAUAGGCAUCCCAGCAAGUACAACAAACCCUUCCCGAGAUGACAACUUGACAUCUCCUGUUGUCCCGGAUGAUUUUCGUUGCCCAAUAUCACUGGAUUUAAUGAAAGACCCAGUUAUUGUCUCCACUGGCCAGACUUACGAGCGAGGUUGCAUAGAGAGAUGGUUGGAGGCAGGGCACGGCACCUGUCCUAAGACGCAGCAGAAGCUACCAAAUAAAUCUCUAACUCCAAACUAUGUGCUCCGUAGCCUCAUAGCUCAAUGGUGUGAAGCAAAUGGUGUAGAGCCGCCAAAGCGCCCUGCUCAGCUUAAUAAUACACCAGCAACAUGUACCGCCUCUGAGCAUAGUAAAGUUAUUGAGCUCCUGCAGAAACUAUCAUCCCAGAACCUUGCAGAUCAAUGUGGAGCUGCAGGUAUGCUUCGUCAGCUUGCCAAGCGUAGCGCUGAAAAUCGUGCUUGUAUAGGAGAAGCUGGUGCUAUUCCUAUCCUUGUGAGCCUUCUACCAACCACCGAUGUUAGCACCCAGGAACAUGUGGUUACUGCUCUCCUGAAUCUUUCUAUUUAUGAAGAGAACAAAGCAAGAAUAAUUACCUCUGGAGCUGUUCCUGGAAUUGUACAUGUGCUAAAGAGAGGCAGCAUGGAGGCUCGGGAGAAUUCAGCUGCCACACUGUUUAGCCUAUCACUUGUGGAUGAGAACAAGGUGACAAUAGGGGCUUCUGGGGCAAUUCCAGCUUUGGUGCUGCUAUUGGGUAAUGGAAGUCAACGGGGUAAAAAGGAUGCAGCAACGGCACUAUUUAACUUGUGUAUCUAUCAGGGCAACAAGGGUAAAGCUGUUAGAGCUGGAUUGGUCCCUAUACUACUUGAACUUCUAACAGAGACUGAAAGUGGAAUGGUUGAUGAGGCCCUGGCUAUACUGGCAAUUCUCUCGAGCCAUCCUGAGGGAAAGGCAGCCAUCAGCGCUGCCGCCGCCAUACCAAUUCUAGUUGGAGUUAUGAGGAAUGGAUCCUCGAGGAACAAGGAGAAUGCUGCGGCUGUUCUGGUGCAUCUCUGUAAUGGCGAACAGCAGCAACAGCAUCUUGCAGAAGCACAGGAGCAGGGCAUUGUGACCUUGCUGGAGGAGCUAGCAGAAAGCGGCACAGACAGGGGGAAGAGAAAAGCGAUCCAGUUGCUUGAACGGAUGAAUAGGUUUCUGAAGCAGCAGAGCCAAGCCCAGGGAGACGCGAUGGCACAGGCGCAUGCUCAGUCCCAAACCCUGUCCCAGGCUCUGGUUCAAGUUCAAGCAGAUACUCAGCUAGAGGAAUCACUGCCUCCUACAUCAUCUCAUCUUCCUGAGAGAUGA
Molecule: ribosomal RNA, 2334 nt
Filed under: Triticum aestivum (bread wheat)
Lineage: Eukaryota; Viridiplantae; Streptophyta; Magnoliopsida; Poales; Poaceae
Description: partial small subunit ribosomal RNA
Source: RNAcentral